CAGUGUAGGAAGGUGGGUAUGUUAAUAGCUAUAUUCAUUUGACGUUAGCUGCUAGAAGAAGCACCGGCUAACUCCGUGCCAGCAGCCGCGGUAAUACGGAGGGUGCGAGCGUUUAAUCGGAAUUACUGGGGCGUAAAAGCGCAUGCAGGUGGUUUGUUAAGUCAGAUGUGAAAAGCCCCGGGGCUCAACCUCGGAAUUGCAUUUUGAAAACUGGCAAACUAGAGUACUGUAGAGGGGGUAGAAUUUCAGGUGUAGCGGUGAAAUGCGUAGAGAUCUGAAGGAAUACCGGUGGCGAAGGCGGCCCCCUGGACAGAUACUGACACUCAGAUGCGAAAGACGUGGGGAGGCAAACAGGAUUAGAUACCCUCGGUAG
This 373-nucleotide ribosomal RNA is filed under the name uncultured bacterium. Its description in RNAcentral is "bacterial SSU rRNA". It matches the Rfam family "Bacterial small subunit ribosomal RNA", at positions 440 to 793 of the family's 1533-position model. The record is from RNAcentral.